AUCUGUCAGUGGACAUUUAGGUUGUUUCCUUGUCUUAACUAUUGUGAAUAGUGCUGCAAUGAACAUAGGGGUGCAUGUAUGUUUUUCAGUGGAAGUUUUGUCUGGAUAUAUGCCCAGCAGUGGGAUUGCUGGAUCAUAUGGUAUUUCUAUAUUUCGUUUUAUGAGGACCUUCCAUACUGAGUUCCAUAGUGGUUGUACCAAUUUACAUUCCCACCAACAAUGUAAGAGGGUUCCCUUUUCUCCACACCCUCUCCAGCAUUUGUUAUUUGUUGACUUGUUAAUGAUGGCCAUUCUGACUGGUGUGAAGUGGUACAACUAAUUGUAGUUUUGAUUUGGAUUUCUCUAAUAAUUAGUGAUGUUGAGCAUUUUUUCAUGUGCCUGUUGGCCAUCCGUAUGUCUUCUUUGGAGAAAUGUCUAGGUUUUCUGCACAUUUUUCAGGCGGGUUGUAUUUUUUGUUCUUGUUGAAUUGCAUGAGUUGUUUGUAUAUUUCGAGAUUAGGCCCUUGUCUCUUGCGUCAUUUGUAAAGAUUUUCUCCCAUUCCAUAGGUUGUCUUUUUGGUUUUUUUUUUAAUGGUUUUAUUUGCUGUGCAGAAGUUUUUGAGUUUAAUUGGUUUAAUUGAUUUAUUUUUGUCUUUAUUGUCAUUAUUCUAGGAAAUGGAUCAAACAAGAUGUUGCCAUGAUUUAUGUCAAAGAGCAUUCUGCCUAUGCAUUUGGCCUUAUAUUUAGGUCUUUCAUCCGUUUGGAGUUUAUUUUUGUGCAUGGUGUUAGAUAUGUUCUUCUUUCAUCCUUUUACAUGUAGCUGUCCAGGUUGCCCAGCACCAUUUAUUGAAGAGACUUAUCUUUCUUCCACAGUAUGUUCUUGCCUCCUAUGUCUUAGAUUCGUUGACCAUAGGUGCUCAGGUUUAUUUCUGGCUUUCUAUCCUGUUCCAUUGAUCUAUAUUUCUGUUUUUGUGCUAUGUUUUCCAUAUUGUUUUGAUUGUAGCUUUGUAGUAUCAACUAAAGUCAGGAAGUUUGAUGCCUCCAUUUUCAUUUUUCUUUUUCAAUAUUGCUUUGCUUAUACAAAUUUUAAAAUAUUCUAUUCUAGUUCUGUGAAAAAUGUUCUUGGUAAAUUGACAGGGAUUGCAUUGAAUCUGUAGCUUGCCUUGGGUAGUAUAGUUGUUUUGAUGGUAUUGAUUCUUCCAAUCCAAGAGCAGGGCAUAUCUUUCCAUCUGCUUGUGUCAUCUUUGAUUUCUUUCAUCAGUGGCUUAUAUUUUUCAGAGUAUAGGUCUUUCAUCUCUUUAGGUGGGUUUAUUCUUUGGUACUUUAUUAUUUUUGAUGUGAUUGUAAAUGGGAUGAUUUCUCUGAUUUCUCUUUCUGAUCUUUCAUUAUUAGUGUAUAGAAAUGCAAUUAAUUUCUGUGUUAAUUUUAUAGCCUGCAACUUUGCCAGAUUCAAUGAUGAGUUCUAAUAGUUUUCUGGUGCUAUCUUUAGGUUUUUCUAGGUAUAGUAUCAUGUCAUCUGCAAGCAGUGAUAGUUUUAUUUCUUCUUUUCCAAUUCAGAUUCCUUUUAUUUCUUUUUCUUCUCCUGUUGCUGUGGCUAGGAUUUCCAAAACUGUGUUGAAUAAUAGUGGUGAAAGUGGACAUCCUUGUCUUGUUCCUGAUCUUAGUAGAAAUGUUUUCAGUUUUUCACCAUUGGAAACUCAUUUCUUCUAUCCUAGAAAACUUUCAUUUUUCUUUUAUCAUGUUAAACCAUAGCAACCACAGCAGCUAAGUUUUUUAUCUUUUUGUUGUUGUUUCAGUUUUAGGGACGCCCCCGCGGCAUACAGGAGGUUCCCAGGCUAGGGGUCAAAUCGGAGCUACAGCUGCCAGCCUACACCACAGUCACAGCAACUUGGGAUUUGAGCCACAUCUGCAACCUACACCACAGCUUGCAGCAAUGCUAGAUCCUUAACACACUGAGCGAGGUCAGGGAUCUUACCCGCGUUGUCACAGAUACGAGUUGGAUUUGUUUCCACUGUGCCACGGUGAGAAUUCCUAUAAUUUUAAUUUUCAUAUUUACUAUGCAAAAUUUGAUACAUUCUACUUUUCUCUUGUUUAAUGGGGAGUCACAGAAAGCUUUAUUAUAUAUUCUGUAGCUUAAUAGCUAUGGCCGUUUAUCUCAGUUUAUUUAGAAUAAAGAAAGGCAUUAUGAAGAGGCCCAAAUACAGAUUUAAUGUCCUGAUAGAUCAAAUAGCAUUUAUUGUUUUUUUAGCCAUAGUUCCAGAACCAGCCUUCCCCAAGCUUGUUCACAGUCAGAGACCCAAAAACAAAGGUUGCAAAUCAGGUGUCACUAUCCUGAAAAACAAGUGUUAAUGGUAUUGGAUUGAUAUCUAUAAUUCUCCCUUUCAAUUAAAGCAUAUUUACCUCAUUGUUUUAGUGAUUUCAACUUACAAAUUAAAAUUUAAUAAAUUGAUAGUUUAUAUGAUAUUUUUCUGUUUUGCAUAAGCCAUGAAAGUAGCAUAAAUGAAAUAUGUAAGUUAAAAGGUACAGUAAUGGCUUUAUAAGUUUACUUAUAAAUAAAAUCAACAAGAUACUGGAGUUUGAAAUUUCAGUUUAAAAACAACAUUUAAAGAAUUUUAGGGAGUUCCCGUCGUGGCGCAGUGGUUAACGAAUCCAACUAGGAACCAUGAGGUUGCGGGUUCGGUCCCUGCCCUUGCUCAGUGGGUUAACGUGAGCUGUGAUGUAGGUUGCAGACGCGGCUCAGAUCCUGCGUUGCUGUGGCUCUGGCGUAGGCCGGCGGCUACAGCUCCGAUUGGACCCCUAGCCUGGGAACCUCCCUAUGCCGCGGGAGUGGCCCAAGAAAUAGCAAAAAGACAAAAAAAAAAAAAAAAAAAAAAAAAAAAAG
Molecule: long non-coding RNA, 2859 nt
Filed under: Sus scrofa (pig)
Lineage: Eukaryota; Metazoa; Chordata; Mammalia; Artiodactyla; Suidae
Description: lncRNA (ENSSSCG00035056203.1)
Source: RNAcentral